Long non-coding RNA from Sapajus apella (tufted capuchin), 632 nucleotides. RefSeq lists it as uncharacterized. The record is from RefSeq and is a predicted model, not a curated record. NCBI's taxonomy places the organism in Eukaryota, Metazoa, Chordata, Mammalia, Primates, Cebidae. The transcript is spliced from 2 exons.
AUGGUUCAGGACCGCGGACAGCAGCACUCAUGCUGGGAAUGAGGCUUUCUGAAAUUGCAGUGACUUCAAAAGUAUGGUGUAUUUUAGAGUAAGUGUGUUGGCAUGGCUACAAACGGAUAAGGUGAUGGUGAGAAUAUUAAAACUCACGGCUGAAUUACAUUUUUUUCUUCCCUUCAUGGCAGGGGAAAAAUCACUGACAUUAUCAUGAAGAAAGUCACAUAGCAGGACUCAGACACCUUAAUUGAAUAAACUUUUCACCUUAAUGAUAGAGUGGCUCAAUACAUAGGCAUAUUUGAUGGCUCUUUUAAAGUUAUCAUUCCAAAUCAAUAACUGCAAAGCAAAUGUGUGUAUUUUUUUUACUGUGCUGUCCAUGGUGUCAAUGAAAAUAAAGAUGUUAAAAGUUGAACUAAAAAAUGAGAACUGAGUUGAGAUUCAUGCACUAACACAGGAUAAUGCAAAUUAGUUUUAGAUGUGAAAUUAAAAACAUCAUUGGCUAUUUUUACAAUAAAAUUUUAAAAGUCCUUUCAUGACCUUGUCCAACGAUUUAAAUGACCCUGUCAUCCACCUUCUGACACAAGUCACUUAAGCAAACGGUUACUUGAAACUUCACCAAUGGAAGCCUGAAAAUUUAA